AGUCGAACGAGAAUCUACUGAAAGAGUUUUCGGACAAUGGAUGUAGAGGAAAGUGGCGGACGGGUGAGUAACGCGUGAGGAACCUGCCUUGAAGAGGGGGACAACAGUUGGAAACGACUGCUAAUACCGCAUGACGCAUAGAGGUCGCAUGAUCUAUAUGCCAAAGAUUUAUCGCUUCAAGAUGGCCUCGCGUCUGAUUAGCUGGUUGGCGGGGUAACGGCCCACCAAGGCGACGAUCAGUAGCCGGACUGAGAGGUUGAACGGCCACAUUGGGACUGAGAUACGGCCCAGACUCCUACGGGAGGCAGCAGUGGGGAAUAUUGGGCAAUGGGCGCAAGCCUGACCCAGCAACGCCGCGUGAAGGAAGAAGGCUUUCGGGUUGUAAACUUCUUUUAAGAGGGAAGAGCAGAAGACGGUACCUCUAGAAUAAGCCACGGCUAACUACGUGCCAGCAGCCGCGGUAAUACGUAGGUGGCAAGCGUUGUCCGGAUUUACUGGGUGUAAAGGGCGUGCAGCCGGGUCUGCAAGUCAGAUGUGAAAUCCAUGGGCUCAACCCAUGAACUGCAUUUGAAACUGUGGAUCUUGAGUGUCGGAGGGGCAAUCGGAAUUCCUAGUGUAGCGGUGAAAUGCGUAGAUAUUAGGAGGAACACCAGUGGCGAAGGCGGAUUGCUGGACGAUAACUGACGGUGAGGCGCGAAAGUGUGGGGAGCAAACAGGAUUAGAUACCCUGGUAGUCCACACUGUAAACGAUGAAUACUAGGUGUGCGGGGACUGACCCCCUGCGUGCCGCAGUAAACACAAUAAGUAUUCCACCUGGGGAGUACGAUCGCA
RNAcentral lists this ribosomal RNA (831 nucleotides) under uncultured bacterium. RNAcentral describes it as "bacterial SSU rRNA". It matches the Rfam family "Bacterial small subunit ribosomal RNA", at positions 60 to 890 of the family's 1533-position model. The record is from RNAcentral.